GACAGCUUUCAUUUGGAUCCAUUUGAUUUUAUUACUUCAGCUUGCUUACGUUUUUCUGGUCUCUUCAACUUCAACCAUAGCAAUUAAUCUAAAAAAUUCCUCCUAUAAGUGGAUGCUUGUCUCAGAGGUGAUGACCAAAGUGAACACCUGGAUCAUGAGGUCUAGGCUGCUUCUCUUCAAGAUGUCCUCCGUCGGUGGAUUGCCCUGCCAAACAAACCCAAAAGACUGAUGAGGCCAUGAGGCUUUGCAGGAAGAGCCACUGGUCUGCACCCCACCACAGGGGAGGAGGAGGAGGAGGAGGAGGAGGAAGAGGAGGGAUCUAUGAGCUUGUAGAGAACGCCAGAAGAGGCAGCAGGGAGUUCAUCAAGGGCCCCAUAUCCCAGAAGAGCUGUGAAGGACCCCACGUCCCAGACAAGAAGAGGCAUCAGGCUGCUGUGUCACUGCUGGAAAUAUCGACAGCCCUGUGCAGCGUACGUGUGCCUGCGGAGUGGAUGUCAGACACAACAGAGGACUGAUUGACGCGUACUGGACUAGGGAACCCCACGGCUUUGGGGCAGCUAUAUAGGAGGGCACAGUGGGGGGGGGUUCGA
Molecule: long non-coding RNA, 590 nt
Organism: Struthio camelus australis
Lineage: Eukaryota; Metazoa; Chordata; Aves; Struthioniformes; Struthionidae
Source: RefSeq, a predicted model, not a curated record